AGUGAACGCUGGCGGUAGGCCUAACACAUGCAAGUCGAACGGCAGCACAGUAAGAGCUUGCUCUUACGGGUGGCGAGUGGCGGACGGGUGAGGAAUACAUCGGAAUCUACUUUUUCGUGGGGGAUAACGUAGGGAAACUUACGCUAAUACCGCAUACGACCUACGGGUGAAAGCAGGGGAUCUUCGGACCUUGCGCGAUUGAAUGAGCCGAUGUCGGAUUAGCUAGUUGGCGGGGUAAAGGCCCACCAAGGCGACGAUCCGUAGCUGGUCUGAGAGGAUGAGCAGACACACUGGAACUGAGACACGGUCCAGACUCGUAUGGGAGGCAGCAGUGGGGAAUAUUGGACAAUGCGAGGAAGGCUGAUCUAGCCAAACCGCGUGGGUGAAGAAGGCAUUCGGGUUGUAAAGCCAUUCUGUUGGGAAAGAAAAGCAGCAGGUUAAUCCCGCGAUGUUCUGACGGUACCCAAAGAAUAAGCACCGGCUAACUUCGUG
RNAcentral lists this ribosomal RNA (492 nucleotides) under uncultured bacterium. Its description in RNAcentral is "partial 16S ribosomal RNA". It matches the Rfam family "Bacterial small subunit ribosomal RNA", at positions 29 to 507 of the family's 1533-position model. The record is from RNAcentral.